AGUGCAACUGCAAAAGUUGUGCGUCCUGAAACUAAUACUUCAUCAAUAGCACCACGAGUCAAAUCAGAACUUCCUUUGCCCGUAAUCCCAACAGAGGUGGAACAGUCUAUUCUUGAAGACUUGAGAAACCGUGUACAGUUGAGUAGUGCGGCACUGCCAUCUGUUAGCUUUUAUACAUUUAUCAACACGCACAAUGGUUUGAACUGUUCAUCAAUAUCCCAGGAUGGAUCUUUGGUUGCUGGUGGAUUCUCAGACUCCUCAUUGAAGGUUUGGGAUAUGGCUAAACUUGGACAGCAAUCUGGCAAUUCUGUUUUGCAGGGUGAAAAUGAUACUGCUCCAAGUGAACAUGUCCUGGGGCCAAAUGGUGUCAAAAGAUCCUACACAUUAUUUCAGGGUCAUUUGGGUCCUGUUUAUUCUGCCACUUUUAGUCCUCUUGGGGAUUUUAUUCUUUCCUCUUCAGCGGACACGACAAUUCGAUUAUGGAGCACAAAACUAAAUGC
RNAcentral lists this unclassified non-coding RNA (500 nucleotides) under Hevea brasiliensis (rubber tree). The record is from RNAcentral. Lineage: Eukaryota; Viridiplantae; Streptophyta; Magnoliopsida; Malpighiales; Euphorbiaceae.